AAUGUAGGUAUACAUUGUUAUUGUGUUUAUGAGCUAAUCCAUCUGGUAUACAUAUAUUGUACUUUCAGCAUUUACUUCUUUCUAGAAAAGUCGCUUUUUUUUCUGUGCUUUCUUUUUUUUCUUUUCUUUAUUCAAGAUUUUAAGAGUUUUAGUUUUUAACUCAUAGCCUGGUCAACUGAAACAUAAAAAUAGAUAGAUAGAUAGAUAGAUAGAUAGAUAGAUAGAUAGAUAGAUAGAUAGAUAGAUAGAUAGAUAGAUAGAUAGAUAAAUUAACUUAAUUCUUAUGAGGAAAGUUAAAUGUUUUAAACUUGUUUGUGUGCUUAACCAUGUAGUAUUUGUUCGAGACGCAAAAGUCAACAAAGCAUGUUAUUUUCUCAUUUAGGGGUAUUUAUCAGAAUCAGAAUACCUUUAUUAGUCCCACUGAGGAGAAAUGUAUAUUGUUACAGCAGAAAAGAGCAGCUUAAUGUUACCUAAGAAAUUAUUUACGUAUUCAUGUUUCUUUAUUAUAAAAUCCUACUAAAUACACGUUUUCUACAUCUUUGCUGUUUUUUUGUUGUUUGUUCUUUGCUAAACACAAUUAACAAAGUUAUUUAUUGUAUCUAUGGAACCACCACAAAUAUUACUACAGCCUACCCGGGGAAUUUUUAUUUUUUGGACAAAACCUUUUUUUUCAACUGAAUUACUCAACUAGCUCAGAAGAAAUGGUGAGCGAAGAGGAUUUCGAAAUGUGAAUACUGCCACAGGAGUUACAGAGUGUGGACAUCAACCUGCAGUCAUUCUGGUCAAACUGAUGUUCUGCAGAGGAGGAGUGCAACACUUCCUGUUGCGACGUAGCCUGUAUCCUGUUUUCCACAGUCAGUGGUCAUGCGUGUCAUUCCCCUCUGCAAGGCUGUGUUGGCACAAUCUCGUGACCCUGCACUGUCAAUCUUAUGAGACUGAAUCAAGGGAGAGACUCCGCAUGUCUGAGAAAACUCUGAAAGUCAGCAAAAAAUAUGUAAAACAGCACGACAAAAGCACCCUGUUGAGAAAUGACUGACUUUAUUCUCUCUUGCUAGCAGUUGGUAAGAAAGACUACAGUAAAUAACAGAUAUUUUUCAUUGAAUAACCUGUGUUUAAAGUGUUAAGUAGGCUGUAGCAGUUGCAGUGCUUCCUCCAGAAUAUUACUAGGCUCCUAAUAGAAGUGCAUAUGAAGAUAGUGAUGAGAACAUUGACACCUCUAUACACUCGAGGGGCCAAAAAACACUAUAUGCAUAUCUCGUGACUGCAUUUAGACAGAAAAGGGCUCAGUUACACACUGUGGUGCUAGGUGCAAGAAAGCAACACUCAGAGAUACUGCAGGUCUCUAUAAUGUAACUUCACACUUCGGAACAAAUAUAACAAUGUUGUCAACUUAAUGUUUUACUGUUAUUUUGCUGUUGAUGUUUUUAUAGAGUGAAAGAAGUCUAUUCAGUCCCUGCAUGUUGACAUAUUCACUUGAAAAAACCUGCUUAUUAUAAGGAAAUCCAAUGCAUUAGCUCUUUAGUUCAGGCUAUAGUCAGUGUGUUGUAUGGUUUUCCUGGUUCUUCAAUUGUUGCUACUUCCCACAACAUCUGUCCAAAGUUGACAACAUGUGUGUACCAGCGCCUUCAGAAGCUCACUUACCCGCUACAACUGGCCAAUACAUACACAGUCAUGUAAUCCCCCCCUCUGCUAGCCUUUAUGUUGGCUAAUGUCAACUAAUGUCACCAAAAUGAUAAAAGGCUUUGCUGUUUCACUGACAUUACUGAGCCAGUGUCAAUUGUAUGAUUCAUUUCCAGUUGUGUUACAAUGUGUAGCAAUUGACACUAAAUUGCUGCAAUUGACAGUUGCUGUUGAUUAACUAAACUUAUCUAAGAUUUCUUUAAGUAAAUAUAGUAAUGUGCUUAGUUACAUUCCACCUCUGCUAACCUUAAAUUGUGAGGCUUUUCUGUUAUUUCAUCAGCUGUGAACAAGUGUGGGUGCAUGAAUAACAGAGGUUAAAUAACACAGACUUAGCUAAAACGGGACAUUGUAAGAGUCACAUGUUGUUCAGGGCUAAUACAUGGAUUUAACUAUAUUAAGCAAGUGUUAGUGGGUCCACCACUGAAACAUUACAGUUCAUAUAGCAGGAUCCUUGUUUAUUUGGUUAAAGGAGUUCAAACACCAGUACAUGUAUCAAGCAAUCAAACCGAUCUGCCACCAAUUGUACAUUUUUGAAGAUUAUAAUGUUUACUUUUUGUUAAUAAAUGUUUUAAUUCAAGAAAUGUAGUAAUUGGAUUACAUUAUGUUGAAUUAGGAUUGUACCUAAUAAAGUUGUCACUGAGUGUAUUAUAGGCCCAAAGUAUAUCAAAUAAUGUGCAUUUCUUUAAACUAAAAACAAUGAAUGAUCUUUCAGGGUAUUUUUGUUAUGUUGUAAUCUGCCUGCAGAAAGUGAAACAGACGAGUUAAAGGAUUUAUCAAAAACGCUCUGGGCUUAAAAUAAAUGAAUCUGGGUUUUUUCUA
Gymnodraco acuticeps is the source of this 2499-nucleotide long non-coding RNA. RefSeq lists it as uncharacterized. The transcript has 2 exons. The record is from RefSeq and is a predicted model, not a curated record. NCBI's taxonomy places the organism in Eukaryota, Metazoa, Chordata, Actinopteri, Perciformes, Bathydraconidae.